AACGCACCUUGCGCUCUUUGGUAUUCCGAAGAGCAUGCCUGUUUGAGUGUCAUUUGAAUACAUCAAACCCCUCGUUUUUGUUUCGAGGGGUUUGGAUUUUGGAGGGUGUGCCGGCCUCUUUUAAGAGGUUUGCUCCUCUGGAAAGCAUUAGCGAAAGGAUUCGCGGGGAAGCGACCUUGGAAGGGCUUUGGUUUGAUAAUGCAAUGUCUAUGCCGUCGCCCUUUUAUUUGCCUUCCACCUUCCUUUGCUUAUAAUCGUCUUCGGACAGCGACAUUCGAAUCGAAUGUUGACGACCUUGACCUCAAAUCAGGUAGGACCACCCGCUGAACUUAA
This 333-nucleotide unclassified non-coding RNA is filed under the name uncultured fungus. Its description in RNAcentral is "sequence contains ITS2". The stretch from base 1 to 52 matches the Rfam family "5.8S ribosomal RNA", at positions 103 to 154 of the family's 154-position model. Lineage: Eukaryota; Fungi. The record is from RNAcentral.